UAGGGAAUCUUCCGCAAUGGGCGAAAGCCUGACGGAGCAACGCCGCGUGAGUGAUGAAGGUCUUCGGAUCGUAAAACUCUGUUAUUAGGGAAGAACAAAUGUGUAAGUAACUAUGCACGUCUUGACGGUACCUAAUCAGAAAGCCACGGCUAACUACGUGCCAGCAGCCGCGGUAAUACGUAGGUGGCAAGCGUUAUCCGGAAUUAUUGGGCGUAAAGCGCGCGUAGGCGGUUUUUUAAGUCUGAUGUGAAAGCCCACGGCUCAACCGUGGAGGGUCAUUUGAAACUGGAAAACUUGAGUGCAGAAGAGGAAAGUGGAAUUCCAUGUGUAGCGGUGAAAUGCGCAGAGAUAUGGAGGAACACCAGUGGCGAAGGCGACUUUCUUGUCUGUAACUGACGCUGAUGUGCGAAAGCGUGGGGAUCAAACAGG
Molecule: ribosomal RNA, 429 nt
Filed under: Actinomycetes bacterium
Lineage: Bacteria; Bacillati; Actinomycetota; Actinomycetes
Description: Actinobacteria bacterium partial 16S ribosomal RNA
Rfam family: Bacterial small subunit ribosomal RNA
Source: RNAcentral